UACAGAGGUCCCAAGCGUUGUUCGGAUUCAUUGGGCGUAAAGGGUGCGCAGGUGGCUGGGUAAGUUUGAUGUGAAAGCCCCGGGCUCAACCUGGGAAUGGCAUUUGGGACUGCAAGGCUUGAGUGCGGCAGAGGAGACUGGAAUUCCUGGUGUAGCAGUGAAAUGCGUAGAUAUCAGGAGGAAUACCGAUGGCGAAGGCAGGUCCCUGGGCUGACACUGACGCUCAUGCACGAAAGCGUGGGGAGCAAACAGG
This 253-nucleotide ribosomal RNA is filed under the name uncultured bacterium. Its description in RNAcentral is "partial 16S ribosomal RNA". It matches the Rfam family "Bacterial small subunit ribosomal RNA", at positions 524 to 776 of the family's 1533-position model. The record is from RNAcentral.